GCGUAGGCGGCUUCUUAAGUGGGAUGUGAAAUGCCGGGGCUUAACCCCGGAGGUGCAUUCCAUACUGGGAGGCUAGAGUGCAGGAGAGGAAAGCGGAAUUCCCAGUGUAGCGGUGAAAUGCGUAGAGAUUGGGAGGAACACCAGUGGCGAAGGCGGCUUUCUGGACUGUAACUGACGCUGAGGCAUGAAAGUGUGGGGAGCAAACAGGAUUAGAUACCCUGGUAGUCCACACCGUAAACGAUGGGCACUAGGUGUAGGGGGCGUAGCCCUCUGUGCCGCAGUUAACACAUUAAGUGCCCCGCCUGGGGAGUACGAUCGCAAGAUUAAAACUCAAAGGAAUUGACGGGGGCCCGCACAAGCAGCGGAGCAUGUGGUUUAAUUCGAAGCAACGCGAAGAACCUUACCAGGACUUGACAUCCACGGAAUCCUUAAGAGAUUAGGGAGUGCCCCUUCGGGGGAGCCGUGAGACAGGUGGA
RNAcentral lists this ribosomal RNA (476 nucleotides) under uncultured bacterium. Its description in RNAcentral is "bacterial SSU rRNA". It matches the Rfam family "Bacterial small subunit ribosomal RNA", at positions 569 to 1042 of the family's 1533-position model. The record is from RNAcentral.